CCUACGGGAGGCUGCAGUGGGGAAUAUUGGACAAUGGGGGCAACCCUGAUCCAGCCAUGCCGCGUGUGUGAAGAGGGCCCUCGGGUUGUAAAGCACUUUCAGUGAGGAAGAACGCCUGGUGGUUAAUACCCAUCAGGAAAGACAUCACUCACAGAAGAAGCACCGGCUAACUCCGUGCCAGCAGCCGCGGUAAUACGGAGGGUGCGAGCGUUAAUCGGAAUUACUGGGCGUAAAGCGCGCGUAGGUGGCUUGAUAAGCCGGUUGUGAAAGCCCCGGGCUCAACCUGGGAACGGCAUCCGGAACUGUCAAGCUAGAGUGCAGGAGAGGAAGGUAGAAUUCCCGGUGUAGCGGUGAAAUGCGUAGAGAUCGGGAGGAAUACCAGUGGCGAAGGCGGCCUUCUGGACUGACACUGACACUGAGGUGCGAAAGCGUGGGUAGCAAACAGGAUUAGAUACCCCGGUAGUC
This 465-nucleotide ribosomal RNA is filed under the name Vreelandella stevensii. RNAcentral describes it as "partial 16S ribosomal RNA". It matches the Rfam family "Bacterial small subunit ribosomal RNA", at positions 338 to 795 of the family's 1533-position model. The record is from RNAcentral. Lineage: Bacteria; Pseudomonadati; Pseudomonadota; Gammaproteobacteria; Oceanospirillales; Halomonadaceae.